GAUGAAGAACGCAGCUAAAUGCGAUAAGUAAUGUGAAUUGCAGAAUUCAGUGAAUCAUCGAAUCUUUGAACGCACAUUGCGCCCGCGAGUAUUCUCGCGGGCAUGCCUGUCCGAGCGUCAUUUCAACCCUCAGGGCCCGCCUGCUUGCAGGCGCGGCGCUGGUGUUGGGGAUCGGCUACCCUGCCGUCCCCCAAAUACAGUGGCGGUCUCGCUGCAGCCUCCCCUGCGUAGUAGCAACACUCGCAUGCGGAGCGCGGCGCGGCCACGCCGUAAAACCCCCGACUUUCUGAACGUUGACCUCGGAUCAGGUAGGAAUACCCGCUGAACUUAAGCAUAUCAAUAAGCGGAGGA
Molecule: unclassified non-coding RNA, 351 nt
Filed under: soil metagenome
Description: partial contains 5.8S ribosomal RNA, internal transcribed spacer 2, and large subunit ribosomal RNA
Rfam family: 5.8S ribosomal RNA (bases 1-120)
Source: RNAcentral